CCGAUAUGCUUUGGGGAGCUGUACGUAAGCGUUGAUCCAGAGAUUUCCGAAUGGGGGAACCCACUAUCUUUAGUCGGAUAGUAUCCUUACGUGAAUACAUAGCGUGAGGAAGGCAGACCCAGGGAACUGAAACAUCUAAGUACCUGGAGGAAGAGAAAGAAAAAUCGAUUUCCUGAGUAGCGGCGAGCGAAACGGAAAGAGCCCAAACCAAGAAGCUUGCUUCUUGGGGUUGUAGGACACUCUAUACGGAGUUACAAAAGAAAGUUAUAAAUGAAGCGGUCUGGAAAGGCCCGCCAAAGACGGUAACAGCCCGGUAGUUGAAAUGGCUUUCCCUCCAGAGUGGAUCCUGAGUACGGCGGAACACGUGAAAUUCCGUCGGAAUCCGGGAGGACCAUCUCCCAAGGCUAAAUACUCCCUAGUGACCGAUAGUGAACCAGUACCGUGAGGGAAAGGUGAAAAGCACCCCGGAAGGGGAGUGAAACAGUUCCUGAAACCGUGUGCCUACAAGUAGUUAGAGCCCGUUAAUGGGUGAUAGCGUGCCUUUUGUAGAAUGAACCGGCGAGUUACGAUUUGUUGCAAGGUUAAGCGGAAAAAGCGGAGCCGUAGCGAAAGCGAGUCUGAAUAGGGCGCAUAAGUAACAGGUCGUAGACCCGAAACCAGGUGAUCUACCCAUGUCCAGGAUGAAGGUAAGGUAAUACUUACUGGAGGUCCGAACCCACGCACGUUGAAAAGUGCGGGGAUGAGGUGUGGGUAGCGGAGAAAUUCCAAUCGAACUUGGAGAUAGCUGGUUCUCUCCGAAAUAGCUUUAGGGCUAGCCUCGAGGUAAAGAGUCAUGGAGGUAGAGCACUGUUUGGACUAGGGGCCCUUCUCGGGUUACCGAAUUCAGAUAAACUCCGAAUGCCAUGUACUUAUACUCGGGAGUCAGACUGCGAGUGAUAAGAUCCGUAGUCGAAAGGGAAACAGCCCAGACCACCAGUUAAGGUCCCCAAAUAUAUGUUAAGUGGAAAAGGAUGUGGGGUUGCUUAGACAACCAGGAUGUUGGCUUAGAAGCAGCCACCAUUGAAAGAGUGCGUAAUAGCUCACUGGUCGAGUGACCCCGCGCCGAAAAUGUACCGGGGCUAAACAUAUUACCGAAACUGUGGAUGAACCUCUUUAGAGGUUCGUGGUAGGAGAGCGUUCUAAGGGCGGUGAAGUCAGACCGGAAGGACUGGUGGAGCGCUUAGAAGUGAGAAUGCCGGUAUGAGUAGCGAAAGAAGGGUGAGAAUCCCUUCCACCGAAUAUCUAAGGUUUCCUGAGGAAGGCUCGUCCGCUC
Molecule: ribosomal RNA, 1312 nt
Filed under: Listeria monocytogenes
Lineage: Bacteria; Bacillati; Bacillota; Bacilli; Caryophanales; Listeriaceae
Description: partial 23S ribosomal RNA
Rfam family: Bacterial large subunit ribosomal RNA
Source: RNAcentral